GAUGAACGCUGGCGGCGUGCCUAAUACAUGCAAGUCGAGCGAACGGACGAGAAUCUUGCUUCUCUGAUGUUACCGGCGGACGGGUGAGUAACACGUGGAUAACCUACCUCUAUGACUUGGAUAACUUCGGGAAACCGGAGCUAAUACCGGAUAAUAUUUUGAACCGCAUUGUUCAAAAGUGAAAGACGGUCUUGCUGUCACUUAUAGAUGGAUCCGCGCUGCAUUAGCUAGUUGGGAAGGUAACGCCUUACCAAGGCAACGAUGCAUAGCCGACCUGGGAGGGUGGCCGGCCAGACUGGAACUGAGACACGGUCCAGACUCCGACGGGAGGCAGCAGUAGGGAAGCGUCCGCAAUGGGCGAAAGCCUGAAGGAGCAGCGCCGCGUGAGUGAUGAAGGUCUUCGGAUCGUAAAACUCUGUGAUUAGGGAAGAACAUAUGGGUAAGUAAAUGUGCACAUCUUGACGGUACCGAAUCAGAAAGCCACGGCUAACUACGUG
This 497-nucleotide ribosomal RNA is filed under the name uncultured bacterium. RNAcentral describes it as "partial 16S ribosomal RNA". It matches the Rfam family "Bacterial small subunit ribosomal RNA", at positions 28 to 507 of the family's 1533-position model. The record is from RNAcentral.